This 253-nucleotide ribosomal RNA is filed under the name uncultured bacterium. RNAcentral's name for it is "partial 16S ribosomal RNA". It matches the Rfam family "Bacterial small subunit ribosomal RNA", at positions 524 to 776 of the family's 1533-position model. The record is from RNAcentral.
UACGUAGGGAGCAAGCGUUGUCCGGAAUCAUUGGGCGUAAAGCGCACGUAGGCGGUUCGAUAAGUCGGAUGUGAAAGCCCUCGGCUCAACCAAGGAAGUGCAUUCGAAACUGUCGGACUUGAGUACGGGAGGGGGUUGCGGAAUUCCCGGUGUAGAGGUGAAAUUCGUAGAUAUCGGGAGGAACACCAGUGGCGAAGGCGGCAACCUGGACCGAUACUGACGCUGAGGUGCGAAAGCGUGGGGAGCAAACAGG